RNAcentral lists this transfer RNA (37 nucleotides) under Eremicaster vicinus. RNAcentral's name for it is "partial tRNA-Phe". The record is from RNAcentral. Lineage: Eukaryota; Metazoa; Echinodermata; Asteroidea; Paxillosida; Porcellanasteridae.
AAACGCUUAAAUAAAGGUUUAAAUCCUUUUCUUAGCA